AAUGUACUCUCUCCAUCCGGAAAUACUUGUUGGGGAAAUGGAUGUAUCUAGACGUAUUUUAGUUCUAGAUACAUCUAAUUUUAUCUAUUUGUGCGACAAGUAUUUCCGGACGGAGGGAGUAUAGU
Non-coding RNA from Triticum aestivum (bread wheat), 125 nucleotides. NCBI's taxonomy places the organism in Eukaryota, Viridiplantae, Streptophyta, Magnoliopsida, Poales, Poaceae. The record is from Rfam.